CCUACACUGUUAGAUGUCGCUGUAGAUUUAGCAGUACAUUACUGUAAAAAUCCACAGUACUAUACUGUAUGUGUACAUUACAGUACAGUACUGCAGUUCAUAAUGCAUUCUGGGUAAAUUUGUUUGAGCGGGAACAUUUUACAGUAUCUUUUGGUCUUGAUGUAACCUUGCUGUAGCCAUUGCUGUAAUGUGCCAGGUGUACUUGCAAUCAGAGAAAGUGCGCCAACGUCAAAUCACACAGAGGGAGAGAGAGCACAACUCCUGGCUGCAGCUGAAGGAGGACGAUUGAUUUCUGGCAGUUCGUCUUACCAUUGCUUGUAAGCUGGAUUGGGUAAGAUGGAUCAUCUUUAAAGGAACCAGGAGUUAAGGCAGAUGUGGAGGCACAACGGGUGAUACCAGACACACACCAAGCACAUUAUGUUCGGACAUUCAAUCAUGACAGGAUCCAGGUGGAUGCUGUCCAUUGAGGAAAGAGUUUGUUCCGAGGUUUCUGGAUAGAAUUAAUUCCAAAGAUGGGAAAAAGUGCACAUCCAGACAAGGAGCAAGCAAAAAGACAAGGAACUUGGUGCAGAGAAAAGCUGUGGCCAUUAACCCCCAUGUGAACAGCUUCAUGCAGUCCCUGAUUGAGUUCGAAUGGACGACUUCAAAGUAAAGGCCACUGUGGUCUGUCUGCCACAGUUUAAUUUUUAAUUUAUUUUUAGUGUUCAAUGAAAUUCAAGUAGAAUAUUUAAAACUAUGGGCCAGUGUUGUUUUUACCACAGUGAAAUGUUACCUUUUAGUCGAUGAUGGACUUUAAACUGAAAACUUCAAACUAUGGAACAGUGUUCUAUUUGCCAGAGUUAAAUAUGUUACAGCAGGGGU
Molecule: long non-coding RNA, 861 nt
Organism: Paramisgurnus dabryanus
Lineage: Eukaryota; Metazoa; Chordata; Actinopteri; Cypriniformes; Cobitidae
Source: RefSeq, a predicted model, not a curated record